CCUACGGGAGGCAGCAGUGGGGAAUUUUGGACAAUGGGCGCAAGCCUGAUCCAGCAAUGCCGCGUGAGUGAAGAAGGCCUUCGGGUUGUAAAGCUCUUUUGUCAGGGAAGAAACGGCAGUUUCUAAUACAGAUUGCUAAUGACGGUACCUGAAGAAUAAGCACCGGCUAACUACGUGCCAGCAGCCGCGGUAAUACGUAGGGUGCAAGCGUUAAUCGGAAUUACUGGGCGUAAAGCGUGCGCAGGCGGUUUUGUAAGUUUGUCGUGAAAUCCCCGGGCUCAACCUGGGAAUGGCGAUGAAGACUGCAAGGCUAGAAUCUGGCAGAGGGGGGUAGAAUUCCACGUGUAGCAGUGAAAUGCGUAGAGAUGUGGAGGAACACCGAUGGCGAAGGCAGCCCCCUGGGUCAAGAUUGACGCUCAUGCACGAAAGCGUGGGGAGCAAACAGGAUUAGAUACCCUGGUAGUCCACGCCCUAAACGAUGUCUACUAGUUGUCGGGUUUUAAUUAACUUGGUAACGCAGCUAACGCGUGAGUAGACCGCCUGGGGAGUCGGUCGCAAGNUUAAAACUUNAAAUUGAAUUGACCGGNNGNGAGNGCGAGCGACGACGAGGAGAGG
Molecule: ribosomal RNA, 615 nt
Filed under: uncultured bacterium
Lineage: Bacteria
Description: bacterial SSU rRNA
Rfam family: Bacterial small subunit ribosomal RNA
Source: RNAcentral